This 71-nucleotide transfer RNA is filed under the name Cucujoidea sp. 45 KM-2017. Its description in RNAcentral is "tRNA-Lys". Lineage: Eukaryota; Metazoa; Arthropoda; Insecta; Coleoptera. The record is from RNAcentral.
CAUUAGAUAACUUAAAGCAAGUAUUGGUCUCUUAAACCACAUAAUAGUAAAGUAGCGCUUACUUCUAAUGA